UGCGUAGGCGGUUCUUUGUGUCCGCUGUGAAAUCCCCGGGCUUAACCUGGGAAUGGCAGUGGAAACUAGAGGACUUGAAUCCGGCAGAGGGGGUGGAAUGCCACGUGUAGCAGUGAAAUGCGUAGAUAUGUGGCGGAACACCGAUGGCGAAGGCAGCCCCCUGGGCUGAGAUUGACGCUCAGGCACGAAAGCGUGGGAGCAAACA
RNAcentral lists this ribosomal RNA (205 nucleotides) under uncultured bacterium. RNAcentral describes it as "partial 16S ribosomal RNA". It matches the Rfam family "Bacterial small subunit ribosomal RNA", at positions 568 to 774 of the family's 1533-position model. The record is from RNAcentral.